GAUGAACGCUGGCGGCGUGCCUAAUACAUGCAAGUUGAGCGAAUGGAUUAAGAGCUUGCUCUUAUGAAGUUAGCGGCGGACGGGUGAGUAACACGUGGGUAACCUGCCCAUAGGACUAGGAUAACUCCGGGAAACCGGGGCUAAUACCGGAUAACAUUUUGAACCGCAUGGUUCGAAAUUGAAAGGCGGCUUCGGCUGUCACUUAUGGAUGGACCCGCGUCGCAUUAGCUAGUUGGUGAGGUAACGGCUCACCAAGGCAACGAUGCGUAGCCGACCUGAGAGGGUGAUCGGCCACACUGGGACUGAGACACGGCCCAGACUCCUACGGGAGGCAGCAGUAGGGAAUCUUCCGCAAUGGACGAAAGUCUGACGGAGCAACGCCGCGUGAGUGAUGAAGGCUUUCGGGUCGUAAAACUCUGUUGUUAGGGAAGAACAAGUGCUAGUUGAAUAAGCUGGCACCUUGACGGUACCUAACCUGAAAGCCACGGCUAACUACGUGCCAGCAGCCGCCGUAA
Molecule: ribosomal RNA, 515 nt
Filed under: uncultured bacterium
Lineage: Bacteria
Description: partial 16S ribosomal RNA
Rfam family: Bacterial small subunit ribosomal RNA
Source: RNAcentral